Molecule: long non-coding RNA, 2899 nt
Filed under: Sarcophilus harrisii (Tasmanian devil)
Lineage: Eukaryota; Metazoa; Chordata; Mammalia; Dasyuromorphia; Dasyuridae
Description: lncRNA (ENSSHAG00000026931.1)
Source: RNAcentral
AUGACACACGCCUGGACAGAAGAGUUUCGGGUCAAAGGAGGCCUCCUGUCACCCUACAAGCCAGACAUCAAGGAUUCUCUCUCCUUUUGUUUGAAGUCUCCUCCCCAGGCUUACUUGCUGCCAUUGUUUCUCUUCCUGGUUCUGCCUUGCUGCUUCCUCCAGGUUAGCCCAGAACCCCUUUCAGUUCCCCUAGUUACUGGGGAAUGGGGGUGGGGAGGAGGAACCAAUGCCCUCUUGUUUAAUUUUGUUAAACUAAAUUUACCUGGAGAACUAGAGUGCAGAGUGAACUGAGCUCUGGGCAAUUCCCCCUAACAUUCCAAGGUGUGAUGUUCCCCUGGCCACAAAACUCACAGAAAUUUCCCCAAACUCAUCUUUCUUCCUCGGGCACCAACCUCAAGUCAGCUCCCAUAAACCACCCCUUCCCUCACAAGUCUAUUCUUAUAGCUGCUCCCUGCAACCUUUAAACCGUUCCCUACUCAUGGCAUUUUAUGCCCUUUUCCCAUUUCUUUCUCAUCUUUAUUUCUUAUUUCUCUGAAAGUUUCUGUUUUUCUCUUCUAUCUAGGUUUCUGUUGACAGAAUUGCUGCCAGUCAAACAAUUCUCCUUCAGUACAAACAUUAGCAUAUUUAAAACUACAGUUACAUCACAUUUACUUUCCACCCCAUCCAAAUUCCCUUAUAUUUUAAGGAAUGGAUAUUUUUCCCAUUGUACAAAGAAAAACCCAGUCUAUCUGAAGAAUGUUUAGGGUAAUUUCCUGAAAAGUCAACAGUAAAUAGUGAGAAGUCUCUGGGUUAGUGUAUCAGGAACAACCUUGCUCCCUAUCCCAAACCCCUACUUCUGUCAAGUGCUUCUGCCCACAGGCUCAGUGGCCUUUACUCUUUACCUUUUGCCCCUCCUUUCUGCCUUUAUCUUCUUCUUGCAAACAUAUUUACCAUAGCCCCAAUACGUAAAGACAUGGUACCCUGGAAAUGGCACUAGAAUAAAAUAAAUACUGAAAUAGAAGUAUCUGAGUUCAAAUCCUGAUUCCAGGCAAGAUAGUGAUUUUCUCUUGGAACAUUUUCCUCAUUUGUAAAAUUACAGAGUGAGUAUAGACAAAAUCUAAAUUCUCUUCCAGGUCCAAAUCUAUGUCCUACAAUUACAUGGAGGUUAUAAAGCUUUCCUAGUCCUUAGCUUUGCCUAAAUCUGAGCCGGCUGUCACCCAGUUUGGGAAAGAGUUCUUAGGCAGGGAUUUGCAUAGUGGUAGUAGGGUGAGAGCCAGGCAAGGCACAAUUAUUGAUGACUUGUGAACAGAUGGAGGCUAAGCUUUUUGGUGGCUGCCUAAAUAAGUGAUGUUGCUGCCUCCCACCCACAGCCUUCUCUCUAAGCCCUGCACUGAAUCAGUCAAAAGUUCUGCAAGCUUUAUCCCUUUAAUAUCUUCCCUCUGUGCUUUAUACUCUUAUUGUCAUCCUCUCUGGACCUUAGUUUUCUUAUCUGAAAAACUGCAAUCAUAAUGCCUCCCCUGGCUACUAGGGAGUUAGGUGGUAUACUGGAUAAAGUGCUCAUCCUGCUGUCCAGAGAACUAUGUUUAUGAAUGACCAUGCCCAGUAUAAUCUCGGCACUGGGUCUGCUACCAGCUCUGGAAUCAGUAACCAAUAGUAGGGAGAGCUAAAUAUACUGGAGAGAACUAAAACUGGAGAGAAGACAUAGCCUAGAUCCACAAAUGUCCCACUGGACAUCAGAAAUUCACUUCUUCUCCACUCUCCUACCUUGUUCCAUAAAAUAUAAAUCCACAAAAUAAUAAGAGACAUCUUACUCUAGAAGUAGAGCUAAUGCUAAUCUUGGAAUAGGUCAUGUCAGUGUGACAUAUUUUAGCAGUUAAGUCUUUGAGAGUUGCCCACAGUCCAGAAAUUAAACCACUUAUCCUUGGUCACAUGGACAGUAAAUUUCAGAGGCGGGAUCCGUACCAAGGGCUUCAUCAUUUCCAGUGAAGUAUUCUAACCUUUAAGCUAUAGUUAUCUCCCUGGGGCAGGUCAAACAGGAAUUUAAAUUCUCACAGAGGCGAAAAUGGCAAGUGAGAGUAGGUUUGGAUGGGAAGGAGGCAGGAAGGACUUGAACUAGGUGCAGGGUUUAAGAGGGAGGGUAAGAAAGAAAGGAUGCUGAUAAAGAAGGUGGAGGAAAAUGAGACAGAAAUGGGCUUUAUCUGCUGCAUGAUGGCAGCCCUGGAAAGAUGGCUAACCAUAGAUGUUCAUUUGUUCCCUGGCUUCCUGACUGCCCAGUCAAGGGCAGGAUUUUAACCCCACAGCCCUUUGAGUUUUUAAGAUCUGAAGACUCUUUCUAUGAUAAUCACACUUCCAGAUAUCCUCCUUAACUCCUGUUUCCUGAGGUUUGCCAUAGAGAGAAUCCACAUCUAUAUCCUUCCUGUUCAUGUCCCCCUGGCCUUGUAUUCCAAAUUCCAAAGCAGUUAUGGGAACAAGUUGGCACCCUCUUUGGCCUUGGGAUCACAGGAGAAAAUAUCCUCAGAUUAACACUCAGAAUAAAAAAAAACUUCAAGAAAAACAGCAGCUUCUUCUCAACUCUGGUGAACUGAUGUGAAAACAAAAAUGUAGCAAUUAAGAAAUUAGAAUACUUCAGGCAUGGUAAAUGAGACCCAUGCUUUUCCCAAUGGUAAAUCUAAAAAGCAACGGAAUCGAACAAUUAAUUAGCUCCUUCUUACUCUCUGAUAAUAUAUGUUCCAUUGUUAACAAAAUGUCCUUCACAUUAAUCCUAUGCCCAUCCCUAGGAAUUUAAUAUUAUAUUAUUAUAAAAAAUAUAAUCUGAUAUAUGUAUACAUAAAAUAAACACAUGUUUAUAUGGGUUGCUUAUAUAUAUAGUAUAUAUUAUAUAUAACUGUGUUUAUAUUCUAGUCAAAUUAUAAUAUUUGGA